CAGUCGCCGCGGUAAUACAGAGGGUGCAAGCGUUAAUCGGAAUUACUGGGCGUAAAGCGCGCGUAGGUGGUUAUAUAAGACAGAUGUGAAAUCCCCGGGCUCAACCUGGGAACUGCAUUUGUGACUGUAUAGCUAGAGUACGGCAGAGGGGGAUGGAAUUCCGCGUGUAGCAGUGAAAUGCGUAGAUAUGCGGAGGAACACCGAUGGCGAAGGCAAUCCCCUGGGCCUGUACUGACGCUCAUGCACGAAAGCGUGGGGAGCAAACAGGAUUAGAUACCCCUGUAGUCCCUGUCUCUUAUAC
RNAcentral lists this ribosomal RNA (301 nucleotides) under uncultured bacterium. RNAcentral's name for it is "partial 16S ribosomal RNA". It matches the Rfam family "Bacterial small subunit ribosomal RNA", at positions 509 to 807 of the family's 1533-position model. The record is from RNAcentral.